RNAcentral lists this microRNA precursor (127 nucleotides) under Octodon degus (degu). Its description in RNAcentral is "miRNA (ENSODEG00000021968.1)". The record is from RNAcentral. Lineage: Eukaryota; Metazoa; Chordata; Mammalia; Rodentia; Octodontidae.
GGUCUCUCUAUGUAGUUUAGGCUGGCCUAGAGCUCACUUUGUAGUCCAGGCUGGCCUCAAACUCCAAAGUAUUCUCCUGCCUCAGCCUCCUGAGUGCUGGGAUUACAGGCAUGCACCACUAUGCCAG